Molecule: small RNA, 412 nt
Filed under: Pongo abelii (Sumatran orangutan)
Lineage: Eukaryota; Metazoa; Chordata; Mammalia; Primates; Hominidae
Description: processed transcript
Source: RNAcentral
UGACAGCGGCAGGCCACAUAGGCAACGAAGCUGGUGCAUGCAGUGUCUCUGGUCAAGGUUAUGCAACCUUCAUCUCCUCGUCCUCCAGGCAGCACAAGCCAUUGUGGAAUCUCCACCGGGUGUACAGAAUGGUGCCUCUGCGUCCUGCCACUCAGGACCUCUCGAGUCCCCAAUGUGAUGACUCCUCAGCGUCAUCAGGAGAAAUUCCAUGAUCUUGCUUAUUCCUGUCUUGGGAAGUCCUUCUCCAUGUCUAACCAAGAUCUAUAUGGCUAUAGCACCAGCUCUUUGGCUCUCGGCUUGGCAUGGCUGAGUUGGGAGACCAAAAAGAAGAAUGUACUUCAUCCGGUUGGGCUGGAUUCCCUCUGAUAAGCCUUCCCAGUUGACUGAAAGAUGAGGCUAGGCUCUAGCAAGU